RNAcentral lists this transfer RNA (87 nucleotides) under bacterium. RNAcentral describes it as "tRNA-Ser". It matches the Rfam family "tRNA". From Rfam's summary of the family: Transfer RNA (tRNA) molecules are approximately 80 nucleotides in length. Their secondary structure includes four short double-helical elements and three loops (D, anti-codon, and T loops). The record is from RNAcentral.
GGUGGGGUGCGAGAGCGGUUGAAUCGGGCGGUCUUGAAAACCGCUAUACCAGCAAUGGUAUCGGGGGUUCGAAUCCCUCCCCCACCG